RNAcentral lists this ribosomal RNA (253 nucleotides) under uncultured bacterium. RNAcentral's name for it is "partial 16S ribosomal RNA". It matches the Rfam family "Bacterial small subunit ribosomal RNA", at positions 524 to 776 of the family's 1533-position model. The record is from RNAcentral.
UACGUAGGAUGCAAGCGUUGUCCGGAUUUACUGGGCGUAAAGCGCACGCAGGCGGUCUGCUAAGUUUGGAGUGACAGUUGGUGGCUUAACUGCCAAAGUGCUUCGAAAACUGACAGACUUGAGGGCUUCAGAGGGACACGGAAUUCCGGGUGGAGUGGUGAAAUGCGUAGAGAUCCGGAGGAACACCAAAGGCGAAGGCAGUGUCCUGGGGAGUACCUGACGCUCAGGUGCGAAAGCCAGGGGAGCGAACGGG